GUCUCUGGAGCGCAAUGGAUAGCGCGUUGGACUUCUAAUCCAAAGGUCGUGGAUUCGAAUCCCACAUGGGAUG
Molecule: transfer RNA, 73 nt
Filed under: Trichonephila inaurata madagascariensis
Lineage: Eukaryota; Metazoa; Arthropoda; Arachnida; Araneae; Nephilidae
Rfam family: tRNA
About the family: Transfer RNA (tRNA) molecules are approximately 80 nucleotides in length. Their secondary structure includes four short double-helical elements and three loops (D, anti-codon, and T loops).
Source: Rfam by way of RNAcentral